AGAGUUUGAUCAUGGCUCAGGAUGAACGCUGGCGGCAUGCCUAAUACAUGCAAGUCGAACGGAAUCUUAUAUGUUCCUCGUUUCGGAUUUAGUUCCGAGUUGGGGAACAAUAAGAUUUAGUGGCGGACGGGUGAGUAACACGUUGGUACCUACCCUCUAGUGGGGAAUAACUUCGAGAAAUCGAGGCUAAUACCGCAUAAUAUCUACGGAUUAAAGCAUUUAUGCGCUAGAGGAGGGGCCUGCGUCUGAUUAGCUUGUUGGUGAGGUAAAAGCUCACCAAGGCGACGAUCAGUAGCUGGAUCGAGAGGUUGACCAGCCACACUGGGACUGAGAUACGGCCCAGACUCCUACGGGAGGCAGCAGUAAGGAAUCUUCCACAAUGGGCGAAAGCCUGAUGGAGCAAUGCCGCGUGCAGGAUGACGGCCUUCGGGUUGUAAACUGCUUUUAUAUAGGAAGAUUAUGACGGUACCAUAUGAAUAAGGACCGGCUAACUACGUG
Molecule: ribosomal RNA, 498 nt
Filed under: uncultured bacterium
Lineage: Bacteria
Description: bacterial SSU rRNA
Rfam family: Bacterial small subunit ribosomal RNA
Source: RNAcentral